This 634-nucleotide ribosomal RNA is filed under the name Escherichia coli. Its description in RNAcentral is "partial 23S ribosomal RNA". It matches the Rfam family "Bacterial large subunit ribosomal RNA", at positions 2165 to 2798 of the family's 2925-position model. Lineage: Bacteria; Pseudomonadati; Pseudomonadota; Gammaproteobacteria; Enterobacterales; Enterobacteriaceae. The record is from RNAcentral.
UGGACGCCAGUCUGCAUGGAGCCGACCUUGAAAUACCACCCUUUAAUGUUUGAUGUUCUAACGUUGACCCGUAAUCCGGGUUGCGGACAGUGUCUGGUGGGUAGUUUGACUGGGGCGGUCUCCUCCUAAAGAGUAACGGAGGAGCACGAAGGUUGGCUAAUCCUGGUCGGACAUCAGGAGGUUAGUGCAAUGGCAUAAGCCAGCUUGACUGCGAGCGUGACGGCGCGAGCAGGUGCGAAAGCAGGUCAUAGUGAUCCGGUGGUUCUGAAUGGAAGGGCCAUCGCUCAACGGAUAAAAGGUACUCCGGGGAUAACAGGCUGAUACCGCCCAAGAGUUCAUAUCGACGGCGGUGUUUGGCACCUCGAUGUCGGCUCAUCACAUCCUGGGGCUGAAGUAGGUCCCAAGGGUAUGGCUGUUCGCCAUUUAAAGUGGUACGCGAGCUGGGUUUAGAACGUCGUGAGACAGUUCGGUCCCUAUCUGCCGUGGGCGCUGGAGAACUGAGGGGGGCUGCUCCUAGUACGAGAGGACCGGAGUGGACGCAUCACUGGUGUUCGGGUUGUCAUGCCAAUGGCACUGCCCGGUAGCUAAAUGCGGAAGAGAUAAGUGCUGAAAGCAUCUAAGCACGAAACUUGCC